GACGAACGCUGGCGGCGUGCUUAACACAUGCAAGUCGAACGCUGAACCCGCUUCGGUGGGGGAUGAGUGGCGAACGGGUGAGUAACACGUGGGCAACCUGCCCCCGGCUCUGGGAUAACUCCAAGAAAUUGGGGCUAAUACCGGAUGUGACCGCUGGCCGCAUGGUCUGAUGGUGGAAAGGGUUUCCGGCUGGGGAUGGGCCCGCGGCCUAUCAGCUUGUUGGUGGGGUAGUGGCCUACCAAGGCGACGACGGGUAGCCGGCCUGAGAGGGUGACCGGCCACACUGGGACUGAGACACGGCCCAGACUCCUACGGGAGGCAGCAGUGGGGAAUAUUGCGCAAUGGGCGGAAGCCUGACGCAGCGACGCCGCGUGGGGGAUGACGGCCUUCGGGUUGUAAACCUCUUUCAGCAGGGACGAAGCGCAAGUGACGGUACCUGCAGAAGAAGCACCGGCCAACUACGUG
RNAcentral lists this ribosomal RNA (465 nucleotides) under uncultured bacterium. RNAcentral describes it as "partial 16S ribosomal RNA". It matches the Rfam family "Bacterial small subunit ribosomal RNA", at positions 28 to 507 of the family's 1533-position model. The record is from RNAcentral.